This 467-nucleotide ribosomal RNA is filed under the name uncultured bacterium. RNAcentral's name for it is "SSU rRNA". It matches the Rfam family "Bacterial small subunit ribosomal RNA", at positions 27 to 518 of the family's 1533-position model. The record is from RNAcentral.
GGGACGAACGCUUGCGGCGUGCCUAAGAAAUGCAAGUCGAGCGGAAGUAGCAAUACUUUAGCGGCGAACGGUCGCGUAACACGUAGCCAACCUGCCCAGAAGACCGGGACAACACUCCGAAAGGGGUGCUAAUACCGGAUGUGCCCAUUUUGCCACAUGGCUUAAUGAGUAAAUCAUUUAUGGCUUCUGGAGGGGCUGCGGCCUAUCAGCUAGAUGGUGGGGUAAUGGCCUACCAUGGCGUCGACGGGUAGCUGGUCUGAGAGGAUGGUCAGCCGGACUGGGACUGAGAUACGGCCCAGACUCCUACGGGGGGCAGCAAUUAGGAAUCUUGCGCAAUGGGGGCAACCCUGACGCAGCGACGCCGCGUGGAGGAUGACGGCCUUCGGGUUGUAAACUCCUUUAUCGGGGAAGAAACAAAUGACGGUACCCGAUGAAUAAGCCCCGGCUAACUCCGUGCCAGCAGCCGC